Polypterus senegalus (gray bichir) is the source of this 1010-nucleotide long non-coding RNA. RefSeq lists it as uncharacterized. The transcript is spliced from 3 exons. NCBI's taxonomy places the organism in Eukaryota, Metazoa, Chordata, Cladistia, Polypteriformes, Polypteridae. The record is from RefSeq and is a predicted model, not a curated record.
AUCGCGGCAGAGCUUGCGUAACGCCAAGUUGGUCCCAGCUGAGGCCAAAAGCUGCUUUUUUUAUUUGAACAAGACUACAAUGUUACUUCAGUUAUGAGCCAGAGUACAUGAUUUCAUUGCUUUGUCUUUAACUGUGCUUACCGGCAGCACGUACAUUUCUCGCUUGUUUUGUUUGUUUUCACUUACUUAAUUUUUGGUAAUGUGUCAGUUUUCUUGCUGGUUUGCGCUGCUGGGAAUUUUAUUUCCUCUCCAGGAGUUUGAGAAGCAAUGAAAAACGGUGCUGCUGGUAAACAGGGUUAGGUUUAAGGAGGGAUGUCUUCUAGAGAAAGAAGAGUCAAAGCAGCAGGAUGAAGCCUGACUGUAGUCCUGGAUGGAAGUGCAUUGUGGCGGUGGGCUACGUCUCUUUUCAAAUCAAUUCGCCGACACAAGACAUCUCAGCUACUCAAGAAGGAUCACCAACUUGUUGACUUCCUCAUUCAUCUGAAAAAGCUUGGAGUCUCUCUCAAUCCUUACCAAAUUCUAUAUUUGCACUGUUGAGUUCCUCCUCAUUGACAGUGGAAUAUCCUAAUAUGAUACCUGCUCAGUUCAGGGCGGUGAAGCACCGCAGGGUAUGAGGAGUACAUUUCAAGAUAUAACUAAAAUGUUCUUCUUUAGAAAGGCAAAAGGUAUCAUGAAGGUCCUCUGCCAUCCUGGGCAGUUACUUUUCUCUCUUUUUUUGUGCAAAUGGUACAAGACCAUUAGACUUUUCGCCACUAGAUUGACGGGCAGCUUUUAUCCUCAUAUUGCAAAGGCCCCUCAACAACUGUUCAUCCUAACUACAUGAGUAUAUCUAAUGUGUUUGUUAUAUCAAAUUGUCUAAUUUUGUAUACAAUGUGGAGUAUCUUAUUAUAUAUAUAUUAUCCAUUAUUUGUAUUAUACUAUUGUCACUAGCCUCUAUGAUACAUGAAUGUAAGCAUGCCAUUGUACCAUGUGGUCAAACAGUAACAAUAAACUUGAGCUUAAUAGAAGGA